RNAcentral lists this non-coding RNA (676 nucleotides) under Pan troglodytes (chimpanzee). The record is from RNAcentral. Lineage: Eukaryota; Metazoa; Chordata; Mammalia; Primates; Hominidae.
AGAUCAGCCCUGGGGUUCAGAGGGAUCCUGACGGCUACUCCUCAAGAUCCUCUCUGUUGUGAUUCAUCCCCCCCGGGCCCUACAGUUUCUCCUUCCUGACUCUUACAUUUCUUUGGAUGGCAUCAUUAUUUACCUGUCUCCUCCCAUAGUUAGGUGCCAAGCACUGUGGAUUCUGCCCCUCAGUGUCCAGACACCCAUUUUCCUUCCCACUGUUCCUUCCCCAUGGAGAAGCCUGUGGCUGGCUGACAGCAGAGAGAGAUGCUCAACUUGGAGAAGGUGUUACCUGGGCCAGGUGGGGAAGGUUUGUUUGCAGAGCAAAGAAGUGAAGGAAGUAUUAACCCUUUGCAUGGCCUCCUGAGAAUCCGACAAGACGUAAAUAGCCAAGAAUAUCUGUGGAACUUAAUCACUGAGUUACAGUAUUUAUCACUCCUAUUCAACGUGAAAAAGAUGAGGAUGAAGACCUUUAUUAUGAUCCACUUCCAAGUAAUGAACACACUGGAGAAAGUCAGACAGUCAAAACAAUGUCCCAGACUCCGUGAAGUUCCUGGGUAGAGAAGGAGACAGACAUAUACCAUACCUAAUAAUUGGAUGUCCGAGAGAAUGAGAGAAUGGCAGAAAGAACUUUAGAGCAUGGGUAUGAUGGCUAGAGCUUGAGCAGCCAUUGUGGACAUCAGAU